Molecule: non-coding RNA, 72 nt
Organism: Phrynosoma platyrhinos (Desert horned lizard)
Lineage: Eukaryota; Metazoa; Chordata; Lepidosauria; Squamata; Phrynosomatidae
Source: the annotation of a GenBank genome assembly
GCCAGGGUGGUGUAGUGGUUUGAGCGCUGCACUACAACUCUGGAGAGCAGGAUUUGAUUCCCUGCUCAGCCA